UACAGAGACUGCAAGCGUUAUUCGGAUUCACUGGGCGUAAAGGGUGCGCAGGCGGCCGUAUGUGUGAGGCGUGAAAGCCCGGGGCUUAACCCCGGAAUUGCACCUCAAACUGUACGGCUAGAGCAUUGGAGAGGGUAGCAGAAUUCAUGGUGUAGCAGUGAAAUGCGUAGAUAUCAUGAGGAAUACCAGAGGCGAAGGCGGCUACCUGGACAAUUGCUGACGCUCAGGCACGAAAGCGUGGGGAGCAAAAGGG
This 253-nucleotide ribosomal RNA is filed under the name uncultured bacterium. RNAcentral describes it as "partial 16S ribosomal RNA". It matches the Rfam family "Bacterial small subunit ribosomal RNA", at positions 524 to 776 of the family's 1533-position model. The record is from RNAcentral.